GCUCCAAUAGCGUAUAUUAAAGUUGUUGCAGUUAAAAAGCUCGUAGUUGGAUUUCUGGGAGAGUGCCGAUGUCGGCCGCGCGCUUGUGCAGAGGCGCUCUUCCAUCCUUCUGUUAACGUCUCUUGGCAUUCAUUUGCUGGUUUCGGGCUCAGAUAUUUUACCUUGAGAAAAUUAGAGUGUUUCAGGCACUUGCGCCGAUA
Molecule: ribosomal RNA, 200 nt
Filed under: uncultured eukaryote
Lineage: Eukaryota
Description: partial 18S ribosomal RNA
Rfam family: Eukaryotic small subunit ribosomal RNA
Source: RNAcentral